Molecule: non-coding RNA, 73 nt
Organism: Caenorhabditis elegans
Lineage: Eukaryota; Metazoa; Nematoda; Chromadorea; Rhabditida; Rhabditidae
Source: the annotation of a RefSeq genome assembly
CGCAGCAUGGCUUAGUCGGUAAGAUGUUUCACUUUGGCGCAGAAGGUCGCGGGUUCGACCCUCGCUGAGGUGU